UUAGCAACCAUAAAUCUCCCUGGCGCCACCAUCCUUCACAAAUUGGCCAUGCUGGUUUUCAAGUAAUCCGCCACCGCAAUCCGCUAUGGUCAAUAUUUGACAACGCUGAAUUGACCCAAGUCAAAUAAUAGUGAGAAACAGUGAAUACAAGAGAAGACUAAAGAAUUUGAGACAUCAGUGUUUAAGCAUAUGUUUACAGGAAGAACGAGAUCUAAUGUAUGGUUCUCUGUUUUCACAUGUUCCGGUGAUCUAAAAUAACAGGAACAAUAUUACUCUACAAUAACAUAGCACCUUACUCCCUUCAUUCUUAAUUAUAAGCAAAAAUUCUCUUUUUAGAUUCAUUGAAAAAGUGAAGUAUUUGGUCUACAUUAUAGUCCAGAUACAUAAAUUGUUCAAUGAAUCUGAAAAGUUGACUUUUGCUUAUAAUUAAGAAUGGAGGGAGUAACUUUUUAAUUACAACUAAUAAUUGUGCCCUUUGUCAUUCAUCAGAGGACUGAUUUGAUUAUUUCUUCUUCUUUUUUAUGCUGAAUUCAAACGCAAAAGUUUAUAUUGCAUUUGAAGUGUUUGUCAAAGCCAAAUAGUUACUAUUUCACUUUUGAAUAUGAAUUUUGUAUUACUUUUCUCAUGUUUGAUAUGCUUAGUGGUGGAAUUCUUGGAACCAACAAUGAUGAUUAAUUUUACCGACUCUGUUUUGAUAAAUUUUUCAGUAAGUACAUAUAGGAAAGAAA
Long non-coding RNA from Trifolium pratense (red clover), 728 nucleotides. RefSeq lists it as uncharacterized. The transcript is spliced from 2 exons. The record is from RefSeq and is a predicted model, not a curated record. Lineage: Eukaryota; Viridiplantae; Streptophyta; Magnoliopsida; Fabales; Fabaceae.